CCCCCCCGAAAAAACGAAAAAGAUUAAUGAGCCAAGAAGCAUCUUCUAUGACAGAAAAUGUGAUCGUCAUGACAACGAAGAAGAAUGAAUCUUCAAUUGCAUGUUUGGAGAGCUAUGUAUACCAAGAUAUAGAUGCCCCUACAUAUCCGUUGCCUCAAGAAUGAAAUGCAUUUCUACCAACUUUUAAGACUCAAAGUGCAAUUACUUAAAAAAUUGUUUUUAUGAUGAUUUGAACUAUUGCAGACGGUCAAGAUCGGCAUUGCGAAAUUGAAGUUUCAAGCCAUUUAAACGUAUGGGAUUCACUCGGCUUGGAUAUUAG
RNAcentral lists this long non-coding RNA (319 nucleotides) under Phoenix dactylifera (date palm). RNAcentral's name for it is "long non-coding RNA (PDAC_LNC014439)". Lineage: Eukaryota; Viridiplantae; Streptophyta; Magnoliopsida; Arecales; Arecaceae. The record is from RNAcentral.